RNAcentral lists this ribosomal RNA (116 nucleotides) under Hellea balneolensis. Lineage: Bacteria; Pseudomonadati; Pseudomonadota; Alphaproteobacteria; Maricaulales; Robiginitomaculaceae. The record is from RNAcentral.
ACCGGGUGGUUAUUGCGAGAGGUCCCCACCCGAUCCCAUUCCGAACUCGGUCGUUAAGCCUCUCAGCGCCGAUGGUACUUUGUCUUAAGGCACGGGAGAGUAGGUCGCCGCCCGGU